UUUCGUAGUCGUGUCUCACUAAGGGUAAGCAUCUCAAUGUUAGUUAGCAAAGAAACCACAAAUUGAUCGAUAUCAAGGAGUUAACAUGUUGAUGUCGUUGGUUUAAUUGGGGUGUGAUAGAAGUGGCAAAAUGUUUGUUGAGAAGCAUCAUGUGACAAGGGGACGGAAUUUAUGCGAUACUAGGUGUGAAUUGCAGAAUCCCGUGAACCAUCGAGUCUUUGACGCAAGUUGCGCCCGAAACCAUUAGGCUGAGGGCACGUCUGCCUGGGUGUCA
RNAcentral lists this ribosomal RNA (274 nucleotides) under Conioselinum acuminatum. RNAcentral's name for it is "Ligusticum acuminatum partial 5.8S ribosomal RNA". The stretch from base 137 to 274 matches the Rfam family "5.8S ribosomal RNA", at positions 35 to 154 of the family's 154-position model. From Rfam's summary of the family: 5.8S ribosomal RNA (5.8S rRNA) is a component of the large subunit of the eukaryotic ribosome. It is transcribed by RNA polymerase I as part of the 45S precursor that also contains 18S and 28S rRNA. Lineage: Eukaryota; Viridiplantae; Streptophyta; Magnoliopsida; Apiales; Apiaceae. The record is from RNAcentral.